CAACUAGAGUAUCAACAUACCACAUCAAUACACUAAUGGGUCAUCUUCAGCCUCACAACCCCAUGAGGGCUUUGUGCAUGCUAAGCAGGUGCUCUACCACCGAGCUACAUCUGCAGCCCUCAAUUUCAU
Molecule: long non-coding RNA, 129 nt
Filed under: Chinchilla lanigera (long-tailed chinchilla)
Lineage: Eukaryota; Metazoa; Chordata; Mammalia; Rodentia; Chinchillidae
Description: lncRNA (ENSCLAG00000028682.1)
Source: RNAcentral